GGUGGCUCAGUGGUAGAGUGCUUGCCUUUCGUGCAUGAGCCCCUGAGUUCGAUUCCUCAGCACCA
Molecule: transfer RNA, 65 nt
Filed under: Dipodomys ordii (Ord's kangaroo rat)
Lineage: Eukaryota; Metazoa; Chordata; Mammalia; Rodentia; Heteromyidae
Rfam family: tRNA
About the family: Transfer RNA (tRNA) molecules are approximately 80 nucleotides in length. Their secondary structure includes four short double-helical elements and three loops (D, anti-codon, and T loops).
Source: Rfam by way of RNAcentral